Molecule: ribosomal RNA, 386 nt
Filed under: uncultured eukaryote
Lineage: Eukaryota
Description: bacterial SSU rRNA
Rfam family: Eukaryotic small subunit ribosomal RNA
Source: RNAcentral
CAAUAGCGUAUAUUAAAGUUGCUGCAGUUAAAACGCUCGUAGUCGAAUUUCGGUGUAGUGGGUGCCUCACGGCUACUCGCACGCCUUUUCUUGGCGCUAUAUCAGGGCCAAGACGUUUACUUUGAAUAAAAUAGAGUGUUCAACGCAGACAUAUUGUUUGGAUACAUUAGCAUGGAAUAAUUGAAUAGGACUUUCGUUCUAUUUGUUGGUUUGUAGAACGAGAGUAAUGAUUAUGAGGGACGAGUUGGGGGCGACUAGUAUUUGGUAAGCCAGAGGUGAAAUUCACGGACUUUCCAAGGACUAACUACUGCGAAAGCAUCUGCCAGGGAGUGUUUUCUAUUGAUCAAGAACGAAAGUUAGGGGAGUCAAAGACGAUUAGAUACCAU